RNAcentral lists this long non-coding RNA (1388 nucleotides) under Malus domestica (apple). Its description in RNAcentral is "long non-coding RNA (MDOM_LNC011105)". Lineage: Eukaryota; Viridiplantae; Streptophyta; Magnoliopsida; Rosales; Rosaceae. The record is from RNAcentral.
AGAUUUGUUUGGUGCAUGCAUGUUUAACAAUUUUACGAGUGUUAUAUGUAUUUCAUGUGAUUUCUACAAUGCUUCAUGAUCGUGUGCUUUCUUUUGAAUAAAUCACUGACAACUCAUCACUGCCAGCUUAUCAAAAUAGUUGUAAAGGAUUAGAUGAAGUAAUAGUUAGUUGAAAGAGUUAGUUAGAAUUUAUUACUCAAAACUUAUGAAUUAGUUCUUAUAUAUUUUAAUUGUAAACUGAUAGUAAAAUUAGUUCAUUGAGUUCAAUACAAAACCUUCAUUCAUUUUUUUUCUCACAUUUCUCCUCUCUAUAAAACUUCAUUUCUUGGUUUUAUAAUUGUUAACCUCUUCUACUUCUCCAAUGUAGUUAAAAUGGUAUCAAAGCCACCAAGCUCGCCCCAUGGAUUCUAGUGGUUCUAUUUUUCAUAAGAUUUCAUCGUCUUCUAGUUUUAUUUCUCUUCCAUUAAGUUCUUCAGUGCUUUUGUAAAUGUUCUGUAAUUACUGGGUAAAUUUUCCUUCUGAAUUUUGCGUAAAGAUUGUUGGUGAUAAAUGGGUCUUUGAAAUUGUGGUGUAAUCUAAAUGCAGUUAGUUAGUGGGUUCUGUUAAUUUCUUAUGUGCUUCCGCAAUCGUCAAAUAGAAGUGGGAAUUUUCGGUUCUUCAAUUGGGAAUUUUUUUUUUAGAUUUUCAUUGAGUUCUUCACCUCCUGAUACUAGGAAAGAAAAUGGGUUUUCAUGCAAAAUCAUAGAUCCAGUGGAAUGCCUUCAUCUUGGAGGGGCUCGUGAUGGUGGUCUACAACUUGGGGUUUGCUUUGGAAAUGGGUUUUGUUCCGGACAUGGUGCCAUGUUAGGAAUAACACCCGGUCAUCAAUUUAUGGUGCAUUUUCUUCGGUGCCUUCGAUAUAGUUCUUUCCUUUUGGUGGUGUGUUCUCUAAUCAGCUUUUUGAAUUAUAUUUUUUGAGACUUUGAUCCCUGAUCUGUUUUCCGAUGUGGAAGAAAGUUUACAACUUUAUGCAGUUCAAGUGUUUGACGAAAUGCUUAGUUCAAGAUUUUUUGUGAAGGUUAUGUUUUCAGUCCCUUUAUCUGAGAUUGAGGGGGGAUGUUGAAUAUAUCACUACCAACUCAUCACUGCCAGCUCAUCAAAACAGUUAUAAAGGAUUGGAUGAUGUAAUAGUUAGUUGAAAGAGUUAGUUAGAGUUUGUUACUCAAAGCUUAUGAGUUAGUCCUCUAGUCAGCUCUAUAUAGCUAUUGUAAGAUAGUAAAAUUAGUUCAUUGAGUUCAAUACAAAACCUUCAUUCAUUUUUUUUCUCACAUUUCUCUUCUUCCUGUAAAACUUCAUUUUUUUGGUUUUAUAAUUGUUCAUCUCUGCUACUUCCCCAAUGUAGUUAAUGC